This 515-nucleotide long non-coding RNA is filed under the name Mytilus galloprovincialis (Mediterranean mussel). Lineage: Eukaryota; Metazoa; Mollusca; Bivalvia; Mytilida; Mytilidae. The record is from RNAcentral.
GCCUGUCAACACUGAGGUUACGAGUGCGAACCCAACACGUUGCAGGUUCAUUCGACCACAAUCUUAAUUGAAUACGAAUGCCAGCGUUAAAUUUCCUGCCGAAAGUCGUUGGUUCACACGGUCAAGACGGCUUCCCCACCAAUAAAAACUGACCGCCACGAAAUAGCCAUUAGUGCUGAUCGUGGAGUUUAGACACUCACAAAAAUCAAUCAAUCCAAUGCUUAAGGUGGUACCUAACACUACAGGGAGAUAACUCUGUAAAAUCAGCUAAACGCUUUAAUUACGUUGUGUUGUUAAGGGAAUAUUAAGCUUCUCAGUGAUCAAAAUAAGUGUUUGUCAAACUGCUAUAUAACCAGUGUAUUUUUUCUGAUAAAACGGUUGGUUCAAAUUUUUUGAAAUUUUUAUAUUUUUGUAAAAGGGUCAAAGUAAAUACUUUGUCAAAAUUUUAAGAAAAGUAAACGAGCCAAAUUAAUUUUAGUUAAAGUGUUGGGUACCACCUUAAUACAAAGAAAUGU